RNAcentral lists this ribosomal RNA (482 nucleotides) under uncultured bacterium. RNAcentral describes it as "partial 16S ribosomal RNA". It matches the Rfam family "Bacterial small subunit ribosomal RNA", at positions 28 to 523 of the family's 1533-position model. The record is from RNAcentral.
GACGAACGCUGGCGGCGUGCUUAACACAUGCAAGUCGAACGAUGAAGAAGAGCUUGCUCUUCGGAUUAGUGGCGAACGGGUGAGUAACACGUGACUAACCUGCCCCUUUCUCUGGGAUGACGCUCCGAAAGGAGUGCUAAUACCGGAUACUCACAUCGAGGCACAUGCCUUGAUGUGGAACGUUUUUCGGAAAGGGAUGGAGUCGCGGCCUAUCAGCUUGUUGGUGAGGUAACGGCUCACCAAGGCGACGACGGGUAGCCGGCCUGAGAGGGCGACCGGCCACACUGGGACUGAGACACGGCCCAGACUCCUACGGGAGGCAGCAGUGGGGAAUAUUGCACAAUGGGCGAAAGCCUGAUGCAGCGACGCCGCGUGAGGGAUGAAGGUCUUCGGAUUGUAAACCUCUUUCAGUAGGGACGAAGCGAAAGUGACGGUACCUAAAGAAGAAGCACCGGCUAACUACGUGCCAGCCGCCGCAGUAA